UUCAAGGAACCAGGCACAGGUGAAACAGAGUUGGUGCUUGAUGAUGUUAUCAAGAACUUGCCCUCCAAAGGUAACAAAUUCAGCCAGCUCCUAGUACGGACACAUUCUCCUAGACUGGGCAGUGUGAGUUUUGUCCCAAGGUUGGCCCUGUUGUUGUUCAGGUGCUGCCUGUGAACAGACACCCACAGAAGACGGAAAAGAUGAAUCCGCAGAUCGCUGCGUACACAUGCUCUUCUAGGGCAUUACUAAUCUAGAGGAAGCGAGUGGUUGAAGAACCACAUUUGUAAAGAGGAUAAGAGAUUAAUGAAAAGAAGUGGAGAAAAGAACCUGCAGUUACACAAGUUCCAGCUCUGUUCCAGAGAGUGAUAAAAAGGAGAAGGAAAAGGUCUGGAGUUGUUUGAUAGACUUCUGAGGAAGGAAGCGAAAAGAUGAAAGAUUACCUUCCCAGGUUGUGGACAUUGUUUAAAUGCGAAGGAAAAAGUGCAAGAAGGAAAUCCUCUUCCUUUUGACAAGACCAAGUUUCACAUGCUCGACCUGUAUCUUUCGUCUCAAGAGCAAGUGUCACCUCCCUUUGUGUUGGGCAUCAGAGAGAGAGAUCACAAGCCAGAAUUGCACCACUAAUGCCAGUCAUUCAACAGUCAUUUAUGGAACACUGAUUAUAGGACAGUCACUAUACUGGGUGCCAGGGUUAUAACAGAUGAACAAGAAGUGCAUGUCCUUUCCUUCCCCCACCAGAGCUCUUGGUCACUGUUGUGGUUCACUUUUUCACACUCACCAUCACUACCACCUUUCUUCUCAUCAUUUAAGGCCAUCCUGGACAUCUAAUUGUGUUUACAAAGCAUGUAAGGAUAAACAACAUGAACAUAAAAAUAAAAAUAGAAUCUUAAAAAAAUAAAAGAGUGGAAAAUAAUCACCUGGUGAUUUCAUUAAAAUGCAGAUUUCCAGGUAUAUUUGCAUAUUAUGAUUUAGAAAAAUCUAGAAACAGGUCCCAGGACUCAACAUCUUCAAAACAAUCUAGAAGAUUCUGAUGCAGGCAUUUCAUGGCUCACAUUUUGCAAAUACAAUCUUCUGUUAAACUAUCUUGUACAUUUUUGUCACAUUCAUUGUGUUUUGAAUGCACAACAGCCCAAGAAAGUAAAUGGGAUAGGAAUUAUUAUCUCCAAUUAUGGAUGAGGAAAAGAAAUGCAUAAGAUGCCUAUUCCAGCUGAUUUAUAUAACUGGCAUCUAUUUAUUUAAGCUCUACACUAGAAAUUAUAGAGGAUGAGACACUCAGUGGAUUUGCAUUAGGAGGGUGCAGAAGACAAGCACACAAAUAUGCCAGGGUGCCUUCCAUGCUAUUCUAUCUGGAAUUUACUUUAACACUUAUCAGUAUAUACAUGCACAUAAAUGUAUUAUGGUAACUUUAUUCUGUACCCUAAAGGUGGUAAGUUCACUCAUUCACUAAUUGGUUCAUUCGUUUUAACCCAAUAUUAUUGGGCAUUUAUUAUGUGUCUGACAUUAUUCUCAGUAUUGGGGAUACAGUAGUAAAUAAAAUACACAAAAACAUCUGUUUUCAUGAAUUAACAUUCUAGUGGGGGAAAAACAGAGACUAGGAAACCACAUCACCCUUCAUAUCUGAAAAGAUCUACCCAGCCAGUGGCUAUAGGGCUGUUUGGGGCCUAUUUGAUGAUGAGUAUUUAUACAAGUGGCAGAGACUGGCUUUUGGUCAAAAUAUUCCUUCCAGAAGUAAGUUGGGAAGCAGGUGCAGGAACCUCACCUACUAAUUGUCAAAAACCGUUGUUUAUCAAAAUAACCUGACAUGCCAAUCAUAACAGAUCAUCUCAUUUAACCUUUUCCAGUAAUAUGGGGUAUACAUACUAUCUCCAUUUUACAGAUGAGACAUUCGAGUCCUUAACAGGGUCAAAUAUUUCCUGAUGUUCGGUGAUUAAGUACUGAGUAGCAGAGACAGGAUAUAACAGGUUUGUGGCCAUAUCCUGUACAAUUGCCACUUCUCUAUACUGCUUUAAGAUCUUGGAG
Lutra lutra (Eurasian river otter) is the source of this 2016-nucleotide long non-coding RNA. RefSeq lists it as uncharacterized. Lineage: Eukaryota; Metazoa; Chordata; Mammalia; Carnivora; Mustelidae. The transcript has 6 exons. The record is from RefSeq and is a predicted model, not a curated record.